UUAAGACCUUCAAUCAGGUGGGAUUACCCGCUGAACUUAAGCAUAUCAUAAGCGGAGGAAAGAAACUAACCAGGAUUCCCCUAGUAACGGCGAGUGAAGAGGGAAAAGCCCAAAUUUGUAAUCUGGCUCUUUUAGAGUCCGAGUUGUAAUUUUGAGAACUGUUUUCCGUGCUGGACCAUGUACAAGUCUGUUGGAAAACAGCAUCAUUGAGGGUGAAAAUCCCGUUCAUGAUAUGGACUACCAGUGCAAUGUGAUACAGUCUCUAAGAGUCGAGUUGUUUGGGAAUGCAGCUCAAAGUGGGUGGUAAAUUCCAUCUAAGGCUAAAUAUUGGUGAGAGACCGAUAGCAAACAAGUACCGUGAGGGAAAGAUGAAAAGAACUUUGGAAAGAGAGUUAACAGUACGUGAAAUUGUUAAAAGGGAAACAUUUGAAGUUAGACUUGUUAUUGUUGGUUCAGCCUUUUAUAGGGUGUAUUCCAAUGGUUAACAGACCAGCAUCAAUUUUUGGGUGAUGGAUAAGGGUCUUGGAAAUGUAGCAACCUCGGUUGUGUUAUAGUCCUUGACUUUGAUACAUUGCUUAGGAUUGAGGAACGCAGUAAGCUGAAUUAAUUUUUAGUGAAUCUCUUGAGAUUUUCUUACUACGGAUGUUGGUGUA
This 653-nucleotide ribosomal RNA is filed under the name Hyalopsora sp. SL-2020b. Its description in RNAcentral is "partial large subunit ribosomal RNA". It matches the Rfam family "Eukaryotic large subunit ribosomal RNA", at positions 1 to 633 of the family's 3401-position model. The record is from RNAcentral. Lineage: Eukaryota; Fungi; Basidiomycota; Pucciniomycetes; Pucciniales; Pucciniastraceae.